This is a long non-coding RNA of Ananas comosus (pineapple), 281 nucleotides long. RefSeq lists it as uncharacterized. NCBI's taxonomy places the organism in Eukaryota, Viridiplantae, Streptophyta, Magnoliopsida, Poales, Bromeliaceae. The record is from RefSeq and is a predicted model, not a curated record. The transcript has 3 exons.
AGAUGAGCAGAGUUAUCAAGUAGAAAUUGCAGCUGAGAACAAUCUGGUAGAAACCUAAUCUAAGCAUUAGAGCUUGGAGCUGCUUGUAGUCGCCAAGCAAAGUGGAUCUAUUGGUGCAAUCCUGCUGUCCGAGUUGUGAAGUAGGGCUGAAGCUGAUACUUCGAGUCGACGACACAUUGAUUACGGUAGAGACCGUUCUAGUUCGAUUGGCACUGAGUCGCGAGUAUUAGUCGUCGACGCAUUCCGAGACGUGAAUUCCAGUUGUUGACACCACUUCAGGU